RNAcentral lists this long non-coding RNA (5203 nucleotides) under Gossypium barbadense (sea-island cotton). RNAcentral's name for it is "long non-coding RNA (GBAR_LNC023002)". The record is from RNAcentral. Lineage: Eukaryota; Viridiplantae; Streptophyta; Magnoliopsida; Malvales; Malvaceae.
UACAAAUGCUUUGAGUCCUUGAAUCCCUGAUUUGCGUCUCUCCACCCAUUUAAACUCUCACCUUUUAAAGCUUUGGCCAUGACAACAAUUGCAAGAGGCAAUCCCUUACAUUGAGCAGCAACCUCUUUGGCUACAUCAUUCAAGGUGGAACAAUCAUCUUCUAAACCAGCUUUAUCUCGAAAUAAAACCCAUGCUUCGUCUUCGAAUAAGAUGCCAAGUUGAAUUUCCUUACAGUUCAUUUUAGUGCAGACUUGUUGACGACGUGUAGUCAAAAGAAUUUUACAACCCUCGUGUUCAUCACCGAAUGGAAUUCCGAUACUCUCCAUUUUGAAUUCUUCCCAGACGUCGUCGACAAUUACGAGGAUUUUGUUCACGCGUUGCAUACUCCUGAAUAGCUCUUCUGCUCUUCCUUCUUCGGUAUUUGUAUGAAAAUUUAAACCAAACAUCUCUGCAACUUUAUCUCGAAUUGUUCUGAUGUUUGGAUUUUGGGACAUAGUAAACAUCACAACUUUAUCAAACAACUUCUGUUCUCGAGCGUGCUUCCCAACUUCUUUGGCUAAAGUUGUUUUACCAACUCCUGGCAUUCCGUGCAGUCCGAUCAUGUUGACACCCUUAGCAUUUAUAGCCUCCAUGAUCUGGUUGAAAGCUGAUUUUGAAGAUUUAGAGUCCAUGAAAUCAGUGGAUGUGAUGAACUCUAUUCCUUGAAGAGGACGACGAUAGCCCACCUGUACAAAGUUAGAAGUCUCUAAAAGUUUAGAGAUAAUAGGGAUCUUCUCUGCCAGUUUCUUACUUAAGGAAUAUCGCCAGCCCCAUUUAGGACACCAUUUGAAACACUUGACGCGAUCUAUUUCAUCUUUCAAGUUCUGGGUUUCUUUUAGUUCUUUCUCAGCGCUUGUAAGCCAGUUGUCAACGUCCUUAUGGAUGAGCUCAUUUUGCCUUUCAGCCCCCUCGACACAAAUUUUCACCCUCUCUUUCUUCGAUUCAAGUGCUUCUCGUUGAUUCGUGAAAUCUUCAACAAUCUUUUCAUAAGAGAAAAAGUAACGGAGAUAGGGUGAUGCGUAUUCCUUUGCCUGGUCUGCCACAAUUUCGACAGCAGGAGGGGCAACAUAUUCGGCCAUUUUUGUUGAUAGUCUGAUGAGGAUGAACAAAAACAUUGGUUAUUAGUAAGAAGAUUCACAUAAAGAGAAAUAAAAGCAAUUGUGACAAAUAAAAUCAGUAUUUGUAGUAAAAAAUCGAGUAAAAGCUACCAAAUAAGCUGUAAAUAUUGAUGUAAAGCAAAGAUGUUAUUAUUGAAGAAGGUAGAAAUUACCUCUGUUUCUGUCUGUGAAUACCAGAAAGUAAAUAGAGCUCGAGUGAAAUAAGUAGCUGUAAAAGAUGAAAGAAUUGAUUUAGUGCAGGUAAUAGAAAAUUAAUAAUAAUAAUAAAUAGAGCAUGGAUAAGUUUUAUCCAGCAUAUCACAAAUAAAUAAUUAAUUAAUGUUGUAAUAGGCCAAUUUUGGCCUGGUUAAAAAACAAAUUACAAGCCCAAAUUAUAACCCAAUUACAUUAGCCUAAAACUAAAUCUAACCUAGCCCAAUAAACCCAUCAAAGCCCUUUCGCCUCAGUGCUGCAGCAGCAGCCUCCUUCCCAGCCUUGGCGCCGCAGCAACUGUCUUCGCGCACGAACGCACAACAGCCCCGUAUGUCGCGCACGUCGCCCUCGCACAGUCCACGAACUCUAAUUCAGUACACCUGUAAACCACGAAUAGCAUUAAUAGGACGAUACAUACAGAAAAUUGUAAAAAAUGGCUAUAAAAAGCCAAUCGAUUUAUGUAAUAGGGGUUAGCAAAUUUUGUAUUGGAAAAAACUGAAAAAGAAAAUACAAGAGAAAAAAAAAGCAUUUUUUGAAGGUGAGAGAUUUUGUUUUUUUUUUCUUUCUUUCUUUUUUUACUGUUUUUAUUUUUAUUUUGUUUCUGAAAACAAAAAACGAAGAGGGGAAGGAAGGGGAAACUUACCGUCGCGAGCGGCGUCGGAGGAUCUCUUCGUUCCGUCGUCGGAAUGAGAGGUAUGCGGAGUGGCAGUGAGGGAGGAGAGCUGCGGCGCAUUUGUGGGGUGGCUGAAGAAGUGAUUUUUAGGGUUUUAAAAUUGGCUUUUAUAGGGUAUUCUUAAAAAUGGGUCAUUUUCUCGAUUGGUCCCCCUGUUUUUGCAGUGUUUUUAAUUUGUUUUUUAUUUCUUUAAAAUUUUGCAAAUUAUUUUAUUUCUGUUUCAAAUGGGUCCAAUGUUGCGCAGCGUUUUGGGGGGUUUGGGUAAAUUGUUUUUUUCAGUCCUCCUUCUGUUGCGCGUAUUUUAAUUUUCUCCCCUUCGCGUUUUCUAUUUUUGAAUUUAGCUUUUAAUUCUGCUAAUUUUCAAUUUAGUCCUUAAUCAUUCAUUUUAGGUUUUUUUAGUUUAUUUUAUUAAUAUUAUUAUUAUUAUUGUAUUAUAUAUUGUUAUCAUUAUACUUACAUAUAUAUGCGCAUAUGCAUGCUAAUUUGUAUAUAUAAAUAUUUUAAACGUUUAUUAUAAACAUAUUUUAUUAUUAUUUUAUUUUCAUAGUUUUAUAUAUAUGUAUAUGCGUUUAUAUUUUAUAAUAUUCAUACAUUUUCCAUAUUUAUAAUUCAUACAUAUAUACAUUUUUUUAUAUAAUAUAUAUAUUAUUCAAAACUAUUAUAAAUAUAUUUUUCACAUUUGUUUUAUAUAUACGUACAUAUACAUGCUUUCAAAAUUUUUUUGUAUACUUUUUAAAAAAAAAAGGAAAUGCAUGUACAUAUUUUAUAUUUUAUUUCCAUAACUUUAGUAUACAUAUAAUUUAAAUUAAAGUACUUAUUUCAUAUUGUACAUUAAUUUUUUUUUGACCUACCUUUUAGAAAAUAUAUAUUUUGAUUUCUGCAAAACAUUAAAAUCAUUUUCUUUUGAUUCAAUGGUUUUUCAAAUAAAAGUGAUAUUCAAAGUAUGGGAUUUUCGAGGAAGUUAAGCCCUAACGUAUUGGGUUCCGAUUUUUUUUGUUAAUCUUAAAUAACUGAGAAUAUUCCUUAUUUAAAAUGCGUAAGCAAAAAAAAAAUCAUUUUCGGGAAUUCAACAUAUUAUGUCCUAACGUAUUGGGUAUGACAUAUUGUUUUCUUGAGGUGAAGAUUUUCUCUAAAAUAAAAACAAUAUUCAAGGUUUGGGGAUUUUGAGAAAUUGUACCCUAACGUAUUGGGUCUCGAUUUCUUCGUUUGACUUAAACAUUUGAUUAUCUUUUUCGGAUUUCACCAUUUGAGCUUUUUUUUUAAAUCUUUUUAAUUUUCGACACCAAGACAUUAAAUAAUCAAUUUGGUACCGAUUUUGGGCGUCACGAGGGUGCUAACCCCUUCCUCGUGCGUAACUGACUCCCGAACUCAUUUUCUCAAAUUUCGUAGACCAAAAUAUUUUUUAAGGUGAUCCGAUCACACCUCAAUAAAGGAUCGGUGGUGACUCCAGUUUUUUUUUUUUUUUUUUUAAAGUCAACAAUUAAAUUUUUGCUUUCAAAAAAUGGUUUCGACAAAUGUAAUGCAAAUAAUAUAACCAUAUAUGCACUCAAUCGUAAUUACUCUUCCCAUUAUAUUCAUUCUAAAUCGGAGCUAUAAUUUGUAUGUGAAAUACCAUCAUCUUCUUUCAAAAACAAUUUCUCAUUCUUAAACAUAUUUUAUAUUUAUUUCUACAUUUUGGAUUAUAGAUUGGAUGCUUUUAAGUUCCUAUAGAAUUAGAGUUUGUGUGCUCUCUAAAAUGUUUAACGAAAAAAAUGAGAAGACUAAUGAAUGGAGAAAGGCGACUCUUCAUUUGCCCCUUUCAUCCGCAUGUUAUACACUUUAACUCUGAGUAAAAUCUGAUUCGAUUUAAAAAACUUGAUAAAAAUUUUAAAUUUUGAUUUAACUAGUUCAAGUUAUUUGAGUUAAUCAAGUUAUUCGGAUAAACUCGAAUAUGAAUUACACAAUUCGAGUUAUUUUGGUUAAUGCCUUUCUUCAAGUAAUCGUAGCUAAGCUUAAGAGGCUCGAGGACACCCCCGAGGACUUCUUCAUCAUACAAAAGCGUUGAGUCCUUGAAUCUCUGAUUUGCGUCUCUCCACCCAUUUAAACUCUCACCUUUUAAAGCUUUGGCCACGACAACAAUUGCAAGAGGCAAUCCCUUACAUUCAGCAGCAACCUCUUUGGCUACAUCAUUCAAGGUGGAACAAUCAUCUUCUAAACCAGCUUUAUCUCGAAAUAAAACCCAUGCUUCGUCUUCGGAUAAGAUGCCAAGUUGAAUUUCCUUACAGUUCAUUUUAGUGCAGACUUGUUGACGACGUGUAGUCAGAAGAAUUUUACAACCCUCGUGUUCAUCACCGAAUGGAAUUCCGAUACUCUCCAUUUUGAAUUCUUCCCAGAGGUUGUCGACAAUUACGAGGAUUUUGUUCACGCCUUGCAUACUCCUGAAUAGCUCUUCUGCUCUCCCUUCUUCGGUAUUUGUAUGAAAAUUUAAACCAAACAUCUCUGCAACUUUAUCUUGAAUUGUUCUGAUGUUUGGAUUUUGGGACAUAGUAAACAUCACAACUUUAUCAAACAACUUUUGUUCUCGAGCAUGCUUCCCAACUUCUUUGGCUAAACUUGUUUUACCAACUCCUGGCAUUCCGUGCAGUCCGAUCAUGUUGACACCCUUAGCAUUUAUAGCCUCCAUGAUCUGGUUGAAAGCUGAUAUUGAAGAUUCAGAGUCCAUGAAAUCAGUGGAUGUGAUGAACUCUAUUCCUUGAAGAGGACGACGAUAGCCCACCUGUGCAAAGUUAGAAGUCUGUAAAAGUUUAGAGAUAAUAGGAAUCUUCUCUGCCAGUUUCUUACUUAAGGAAUAUCGCCAGCCCCAUUUAGGACACCAUUUGAAACACUUGACGCGAUCUAUUUCAUCUUUCAAGUUCUGGGUUUCUUUCAGUUCUUUCUCAGCGCUUGUAAGCCAGUUGUCAACGUCCUUAUGGAUGAGCUCAUUUUGCCUUUCAGCCUCAUCGACACGAAUUUUCACCCUCUCUUUCUUUAAUUCAAGUGCUUCUCGUUGAUUCUUGAAAUCUUCAACAAUCUCUCCAUAACGGAAAAAGUAACGAAGAUAGGGUGAUGCGUAUUCCUUUGCCUGGUCUGCCACAAUUUCGACAGCAGGAGGGGCAACAUAUUCGGCCAUUUUUGUUGAUAGUCUGAUGAGGUUGAACAAAAA